CAUGCAGUCGACGGCAGCAUGAUCUAGCUUGCUAGAUUGAUGGCGAGUGGCGAACGGGUGAGUAAUACAUCGGAACGUGCCCUGUAGUGGGGGAUAACUAGUCGAAAGAUUAGCUAAUACCGCAUACGACCUGAGGGUGAAAGUGGGGGACCGCAAGGCCUCAUGCUAUAGGAGCGGCCGAUGUCUGAUUAGCUAGUUGGUGAGGUAAAGGCUCACCAAGGCGACGAUCAGUAGCUGGUCUGAGAGGACGAUCAGCCAUACUGGGACUGAGACACGGCCCAGACUCCUACGGGAGGCAGCAGUGGGGAAUUUUGGACAAUGGGCGAAAGCCUGAUCCAGCAAUGCCGCGUGUGUGAAGAAGGCCUUCGGGUUGUAAAGCACUUUUGUCCGGAAAGAAAUGGCUCUGGUUAAUACCUGGGGUCGAUGACGGUACCGGAAGAAUAAGGACCGGCUAACUACGUGCCAGCAGCCGCGGUAAUACGUAGGGUCCAAGCGUUAAUCGGAAUUACUGGGCGUAAGCGUGCGCGGCGGUUGUGCAAGACGAUGUGAAUCCCCGAG
This 558-nucleotide ribosomal RNA is filed under the name bacterium amp-d-29. Its description in RNAcentral is "bacterial SSU rRNA". It matches the Rfam family "Bacterial small subunit ribosomal RNA", at positions 54 to 607 of the family's 1533-position model. The record is from RNAcentral.